RNAcentral lists this ribosomal RNA (408 nucleotides) under uncultured bacterium. RNAcentral describes it as "bacterial SSU rRNA". It matches the Rfam family "Bacterial small subunit ribosomal RNA", at positions 355 to 776 of the family's 1533-position model. The record is from RNAcentral.
UGGGGAAUUUUCCGCAAUGGGCGAAAGCCUGACGGAGCAAUACCGCGUGAGGGAUGAAUGCCUAUGGGUUGUAAACCUCUUUUUUCAAGGAGGAAUAAAAUGACGUGUACUUGAAGAAUAAGCAUCGGCUAACUCCGUGCCAGCAGCCGCGGUAAGACGGGGGAUGCAAGUGUUAUCCGGAAUCACUGGGCGUAAAGCGUCUGUAGGUGGUUAAAUAAGUCAACUGUUAAAUCUUGAGGCUCAACCUCAAAAUCGCAGUCGAAACUGUUUGACUAGAGUAUAGUAGGGGUAAAGGGAAUUUCCAGUGGAGCGGUGAAAUGCGUAGAGAUUGGAAAGAACACCAAUGGCGAAGGCACUUUACUGGGCUAUUACUAACACUGAGAGACGAAAGCUAGGGUAGCAAAUGGG